AGAUUAAGUUAUUAAGGGCGCACGGUGGAUGCCUUGGCACUAGAAGCCGAUGAAGGACGUUACUAACGACGAUAUGCUUUGGGUAGCUGUAAGUAAGCGUUGAUCCAGAGAUUUCCGAAUGGGGGAACCCAGCAUGAGUUAUGUCAUGUUAUCGACAUGUGAAUUCAUAGCAUGUCAGAAGGCAGACCCGGAGAACUGAAACAUCUUAGUACCCGGAGGAAGAGAAAGAAAAAUCGAUUCCCUGAGUAGCGGCGAGCGAAACGGGAAGAGCCCAAACCAACAAGCUUGCUUGUUGGGGUUGUAGGACACUCUAUACGGAGUUACAAAAGAACAUGUUAGACGAAUCAUCUGGAAAGAUGAAUCAAAGAAGGUAAUAAUCCUGUAGUCGAAAACAUAUUCUCUCUUGAGUGGAUCCUGAGUACGACGGAGCACGUGAAAUUCCGUCGGAAUCUGGGAGGACCAUCUCCUAAGGCUAAAUACUCUCUAGUGACCGAUAGUGAACCAGUACCGUGAGGGAAAGGUGAAAAGUACCCCGGAAGGGGAGUGAAAGAGAACUUGAAACCGUGUGCUUACAAGUAGUCAGAGCCCGUUAAUGGGUGAUGGCGUGCCUUUUGUAGAAUGAACCGGCGAGUUACGAUCUGAUGCAAGGUUAAGCAGCAAAUGUGGAGCCGCAGCGAAAGCGAGUCUGAAUAGGGCGUUGAGUAUUUGGUCGUAGACCCGAAACCAGGUGAUCUACCCUUGGUCAGGUUGAAGUUCAGGUAACACUGAAUGGAGGACCGAACCGACUUACGUUGAAAAGUGAGCGGAUGAACUGAGGGUAGCGGAGAAAUUCCAAUCGAACUUGGAGAUAGCUGGUUCUCUCCGAAAUAGCUUUAGGGCUAGCCUCAAGUGAUGAUUAUUGGAGGUAGAGCACUGUUUGGACGAGGGGCCCCUCUCGGGUUACCGAAUUCAGACAAACUCCGAAUGCCAAUUAAUUUAACUUGGGAGUCAGAACAUGGGUGAUAAGGUCCGUGUUCGAAAGGGAAACAGCCCAGACCACCAGCUAAGGUCCCAAAAUAUAUGU
This 1063-nucleotide ribosomal RNA is filed under the name Staphylococcus epidermidis. RNAcentral describes it as "bacterial LSU rRNA". It matches the Rfam family "Bacterial large subunit ribosomal RNA", at positions 1 to 1059 of the family's 2925-position model. Lineage: Bacteria; Bacillati; Bacillota; Bacilli; Caryophanales; Staphylococcaceae. The record is from RNAcentral.